UCCAUUGAUGAGCUUGCUUGUGACAGUCCUUGAUCUUGAAGCUUUUUCCACGAAUUCACCAAAACAGUUGCUCUAUAAGGUUUGUGGAGAAUGAAUCCAAAAGGAAUUGUCCAAAAUGAUGAAGAAUUGAUGAAGAAAUCUUGAAAAAUGCUUGAUGAAAUUUGAGAGGAUUUUGCAAUUUUGGAGGGAAAGUUUGUUAUGAUUCUU
This 207-nucleotide long non-coding RNA is filed under the name Lathyrus oleraceus (garden pea). RNAcentral describes it as "Pisum sativum (pea) long non-coding RNA (PSAT_LNC035838)". The record is from RNAcentral. Lineage: Eukaryota; Viridiplantae; Streptophyta; Magnoliopsida; Fabales; Fabaceae.